UUAAAUAUAGUACAUACAAGGCUCUAUCUAACAGUAGGUACUGGAUGAGCACUAGUGACUGUGUGGUUUGAUUGUACCAUUCUAAACAUAUCAACUCUGGUCUUUAUCCUUUUUACCUUGUAGGUGGUCGCUGACCUGGCAGGUUAUCAUCCACUUCCCAGGAUUCUCGGCUAUCAUUUCUGUGGUGCCAGGACACAGAUUCUCCAACACACAUAUCAGGCUCCGGGAAGUUUCCGAAGAGGUAUCCAUUGAGGGCUGGAAACAGAAACACGCUAGUGGAAGAGACUCCCCUGCAGAGGCGACUGGGACCAGAAAUGUUGAGAAAACACUCAAUAAAAGUGAAGAUCAGCAUACACUGAGAACAGCCUCGGAGCUGCUGUGGGAACGCAAUAUGAGGUCAGGAGAAAACAGAGUGCUGCUCAUAUUUACAGGAGGCUCAGUCACCUUCUGUCAUAAUCCUUCACUGGCAUAUCUGCUGUCUUCACCAGAUUCUGUGCUCCUUGGAACUAGAAACCCUGUCUUGUUCAUCUUAACAGUUAUCAGGACCUAGCAGAAAAACUGGCACAUAGUAUCUACUUAAUGAAGUGACAAAAGCAUGUAGUAAGAUGGAAAGAAAAGGAAUUGAUUAAAAGGAAUUUAUGAGAACUGUUUUGUUUGUUUGUUUGUUUACUUUAAAAAGCCAAGAGAAAAACAGUUUUUACUACAUGUUGCUGGAGCAGAAUCUUAUUAAGUUUAUGGCGUAAAUCCAGGACCGAAUACUUUAAAACCAUCUAAAUGGCAGCUGGGAGUUGACCAAGUUCAGAAAAGAACU
RNAcentral lists this long non-coding RNA (811 nucleotides) under Homo sapiens (human). Its description in RNAcentral is "HSALNT0179817". Lineage: Eukaryota; Metazoa; Chordata; Mammalia; Primates; Hominidae. The record is from RNAcentral.